This 371-nucleotide ribosomal RNA is filed under the name uncultured bacterium. RNAcentral describes it as "bacterial SSU rRNA". It matches the Rfam family "Bacterial small subunit ribosomal RNA", at positions 527 to 896 of the family's 1533-position model. The record is from RNAcentral.
AGAGGGGGCUAGCGUUAUUCGGAAUUAUUGGGCGUAAAGGGCGCGUAGGCGGCCAUGCGUGUCUUCCGUGAAAUCCCUCGGCUUAACUGAGGACGCGCGGAAGAAACUGCAAGGCUCGAGUCCGGGAGAGGGGGGUAGAAUUCCCAGUGUAGCGGUGAAAUGCGUAGAUAUUGGGAGGAACACCGGUGGCGAAGGCGGCCCCCUGGACCGGUACUGACGCUGAGGCGCGAAAGCGUGGGUAGCAAACGGGAUUAGAUACCCCGGUAGUCCACGCCGUAAACGAUGGGCACUUGGUGUCGCGGGUAUCGACCCCUGCGGUGCCGAAGCUAACGCAUUAAGUGCCCCGCCUGGGGAGUACGGUCGCAAGGCUG